CGCAACGAGCGCAACCCCUCUUGUUAGUUGCCAUCAUUAAGUUGGGCACUCUAGCGAGACUGCCGGUAAUAAACCGGAGGAAGGUGGGGAUGACGUCAAAUCAUCAUGCCCCUUAUGACCUGGGCUACACACGUGCUACAAUGGUUGGUACAACGAGUCGCGAGUCGGUGACGGCAAGCAAAUCUCUUAAAGCCAAUCUCAGUUUGGAUUGUAGGCUGCAACUCGCCUACAAGAAGUCGGAAUCGAUAGUAAUCCCGGAUCAGCACGCCGCGGUGAAUACGUUCCCGGGCCUUGUACACACCUCCCCUCACACCAGGCGAGUUU
Molecule: ribosomal RNA, 324 nt
Filed under: Streptococcus equinus
Lineage: Bacteria; Bacillati; Bacillota; Bacilli; Lactobacillales; Streptococcaceae
Description: bacterial SSU rRNA
Rfam family: Bacterial small subunit ribosomal RNA
Source: RNAcentral